UAACAAAAAAUAUUAGGAGACUGGGGGAACUGGGUUUAUUAGACUGGAGAAGAGAAGAGUGAGGGGGGAUUUGAUAGCAGCUUUCAACUAUCUGA
Non-coding RNA from Chelonoidis abingdonii (Abingdon island giant tortoise), 95 nucleotides. Lineage: Eukaryota; Metazoa; Chordata; Testudines; Testudinidae. The record is from RefSeq and is a predicted model, not a curated record.